CGCACAUUGCGCCCGCCAGCAUUCUGGCGGGCAUGCCUGUCCGAGCGUCAUUUCAACCCUCAGGCCCUGCCUGGUGUUGGAGGACUGCGCACCGCAGCCUCCCAAAGCAAGCGGCGGCGGCGCCCCAUAACCGAACGCAGUAGUUACUUCUCGUUCUGGGUCUGGGUCGUUGUCCUGCCGGAAAACCCCCAUCUUUAUCAAUGGUUGACCUCGGAUCAGGUAGGAAUACCCGCUGAACUUAA
Molecule: unclassified non-coding RNA, 242 nt
Filed under: Chaetosphaeria vermicularioides
Lineage: Eukaryota; Fungi; Ascomycota; Sordariomycetes; Chaetosphaeriales; Chaetosphaeriaceae
Description: partial contains 5.8S ribosomal RNA, internal transcribed spacer 2, and large subunit ribosomal RNA
Source: RNAcentral